This 1348-nucleotide long non-coding RNA is filed under the name Ananas comosus (pineapple). RNAcentral's name for it is "long non-coding RNA (ACOM_LNC023747)". Lineage: Eukaryota; Viridiplantae; Streptophyta; Magnoliopsida; Poales; Bromeliaceae. The record is from RNAcentral.
AAAAUACUUAUUAUACACUCUAAAAAAAAAAUUAAAAAGUAUAUCUUACACCCGUAAUUUUAGAAUUGAAAAAAAUAAAAUUAAUUUUUUUAAAAAAUUUAAAAAAUUAAUAUGAUAAAAAUGAUCCUAGAAUAAAGUGAAUGUAAAAAAUAUAUUCUACUUUAUGAUGUACUAUUAUUCUUCUUAUUCCAAUCUAACUAUUUAAAUAUUAUGCAUCUUAUUUUUAGAAACAACUCAAUUUUUAUCCAAACGUUAAAUUGAUCUAAUUUUUAUUUAUAUCUUAUACCAAUUUCUGAAAUAAACAGUUUUUAUUUAUAUCCGAAUCAAACACAGCCAAAAGUGUAUUGGCAAAUAAUAAGUCUCGCAUUAUGCCCGUGUGGCGAACGGUGCAAAAGAGCAAAGUCAUUGGGGGACGGACCAAUGAACACGAAUGUUUGGAGAUGAUCACGAUUUGCUAGUUCAUUGGGUCCCACAUGAGCCCCACAUGCAUGUUAUGUUCUUUUCACGCAAUAGCGAGUUCGCGUACGGAUCCAACUCACGGCGUGUAAACGGUUUGGAUUCGGGAUGAAUUUUUAAAAAUUACAAUCCAAAUCCCACCAUUAAACAUGAAAUUUGAAUCCGAAUUUAAAUCUGAGGAAUUGUAAAAAUUAAAAAAAUUUUGAAACUCGAAACCAAAUCUAAAAUAAUUAUUUUUCUUUACCAUAGCUUUAAAAUUAUAUCACAUUAAAUAUAAAUUUUUAAAAUACAAAUUUAAAUAUUUAUAUAUAUUAUAUAAUGUAAGCUUAAUUCGGGUUCAAGUUGAGUUCUGGUCGGGUUCAAGUACGGAUCGAGUAUAGGUAAAAUUCAUAUCUGAAUUCAAAUUGGUCGGAUUUCGUUCUUUAUAUUCAUAUUUGAAACUAUAUCCGUUUAGUAUCAAAUAAAUUUUGUUCGAAUUCAAAUAAAAUUUCGGAUAUCUGUACUUAUUGACAUCCCUAAUCAUGUGCCGAGAGGGUGAUUUAAGGUCCAUUCUACAACUAGAAAUUUAGAACUCUGCUACUUCAUUGGGUUAGUUUUGUAAAUACCAAACAUGCCAUAUUGCAGGAGAUUUUUAUUGACUUAAAUGGACCAGUAUUCUGCCCUGUGGUGGAAAAUCAGAUUAGACUAAGUCAAAUUUGAAAUUUUAUGAGGCUGAGUUGGGCCGAGUCAUGUUUGAAAUGGCGUGAGACUGGUUGGGCUGAGUCGUAAUGGAAAUCCAUUGGCGCUGUAUCUGUACGCUUUAAACGAAUUAGUUGUAUAUUUCUAAUAUCUGAAAUUUUUUGGAUUAAUGGUUAGUACCAAUGAUCCAAAAAAAUAUUAUUAGUCGUAUACU